GAUGAACGCUGGCGGCGUGCCUAAUACAUGCAAGUCGAGCGAACGGACGAGAAGCUUGCUUCUCUGAUGUUAGCGGCGGACGGGUGAGUAACACGUGGAUAACCUACCUAUAAGACUGGGAUAACUUCGGGAAACCGUAGCUAAUACCGGAUAAUACUUUGAACCACAUGGUUCAAAAGUGAAAGACGGUCUUGCUGUCACUUAUAGAUGGAUCCGCGCUGCAUUAGCUAGUUGGUAAGGUAACGGCUUACCAAGGCAACGAUGCAUAGCCGACCUGAGAGGGGGAUCGGCCACACUGGAACUGAGACACGGUCCAGACUCCUACGGGAGGCAGCAGUAGGGAAUCUUCCGCAAUGGGCGAAAGCCUGACGGAGCAACGCCGCGUGAGUGAUGAAGGUCUUCGGAUCGUAAAACUCUGUUAUUAGGGAAGAACAUAUGUGUAAGUAACUGUGCACAUCUUGACGGUACCUAAUCAGAAAGCCACGGCUAACUACGUG
This 497-nucleotide ribosomal RNA is filed under the name uncultured bacterium. RNAcentral describes it as "partial 16S ribosomal RNA". It matches the Rfam family "Bacterial small subunit ribosomal RNA", at positions 28 to 507 of the family's 1533-position model. The record is from RNAcentral.